AUACGGAGGAUACGAGCGUUAUCCGGAUUUAUUGGGUUUAAAGGGUGCGCAGGCGGCCAUUUAAGUCAGCGGUUAAAUCGUGGGGCUCAACCCCAUUCUGCCGUUGAUACUGGGUGGCUUGAUUGCGGUCGAGGUUGGCGGAAUUCGUUGUGUAGCGGUGAAAUGCAUAGAUAUGACGAAGAACACCGAUUGCGUAGGCAGCUGACCAGACCGCAAAUGACGCUCAUGCACGAAAGUGCGGGGAUCGAACAGGAUUAGAUACCCUGGUAGUCCGCACAGUAAACGAUGAAUACUUGUUUUCGGCGAUAUAAUGUCGGAGGCAAAGCGAAAGCGAUAAGUAUUCCACCUGGGGAGUACGCCGGCAACGGUGAAACUCAAAUGAAUUGGCGGGG
This 392-nucleotide ribosomal RNA is filed under the name uncultured bacterium. Its description in RNAcentral is "partial 16S ribosomal RNA". It matches the Rfam family "Bacterial small subunit ribosomal RNA", at positions 523 to 918 of the family's 1533-position model. The record is from RNAcentral.